GCCUCUGUGGAUUAGCGGUAGAUCGCCUCAGAUUUAUAGGUGCAUUGGCAAACAUUUAUGGGGAGGUGUGGGUUCGAAUCCCACCAGAGGCA
Molecule: non-coding RNA, 92 nt
Organism: Mycena leptocephala
Lineage: Eukaryota; Fungi; Basidiomycota; Agaricomycetes; Agaricales; Mycenaceae
Source: the annotation of a GenBank genome assembly